UCCUACGGGGGGCUGCAGUGGGGAAUAUUGGACAAUGGGCGAAAGCCUGAUCCAGCAAUGCCGCGUGAGUGAUGAAGGCCUUAGGGUUGUAAAGCUCUUUUACCAGGGAUGAUAAUGACAGUACCUGGAGAAUAAGCUCCGGCUAACUCCGUGCCAGCAGCCGCGGUAAUACGGAGGGAGCUAGCGUUGUUCGGAAUUACUGGGCGUAAAGCGCACGUAGGCGGCUCAGCAAGUCAGGGGUGAAAUCCCGGGGCUCAACCCCGGAACUGCACUUGAAACUGCUGCGCUAGAAUCUUGGAGAGGCGAGUGGAAUUCCGAGUGUAGAGGUGAAAUUCGUAGAUAUUCGGAAGAACACCAGUGGCGAAGGCGACUCGCUGGACAAGUAUUGACGCUGAGGUGCGAAAGCGUGGGGAGCAAACAGGAUUAGAUACCCUAGUAGUCUU
Molecule: ribosomal RNA, 443 nt
Filed under: uncultured Erythrobacteraceae bacterium
Lineage: Bacteria; Pseudomonadati; Pseudomonadota; Alphaproteobacteria; Sphingomonadales; Erythrobacteraceae
Description: bacterial SSU rRNA
Rfam family: Bacterial small subunit ribosomal RNA
Source: RNAcentral